Molecule: ribosomal RNA, 451 nt
Filed under: uncultured bacterium
Lineage: Bacteria
Description: partial 16S ribosomal RNA
Rfam family: Bacterial small subunit ribosomal RNA
Source: RNAcentral
AGCGAACGCUGGCGGCAGGCUUAACACAUGCAAGUCGAACGCUCGUAGCAAUACGGGAGUGGCAGACGGGUGAGUAACGCGUGGGAAUAUGCCUUUUGGUUCGGAAUAACUCAGGGAAACUUGAGCUAAUACCGGAUAAGCCCGAGAGGGGACGGAUUUAUCGCCAAAAGAUUAGCUCGCGUCCGAUUAGCUUGUUGGUGAGGUAAUGGCUCACCAAGGCGACGAUCGGUAGCUGGUCUGAGAGGAUGAGAAGUCACAUUGGGACUGAGACACGGCCCAAACUCCUACGGGAGGCAGCAGUGGGGAAUAUUGGACAAUGGGCGCAAGCCUGAUCCAGCCAUGCCGCGUGAGUGAUGAAGGCCUUAGGGUUGUAAAGCUCUUUUGUCCGGGAAGAUAAUGACGGUACCGGAAGAAUAAGCCCCGGCUAACUUCGUGCCAGCAGCCGCAGUAA